UGUUUUUUUCUUCUUUUGUAAAAUAUUUUAAAUAUGUUAUGAACUCGCCGAAGUUUGGUUGAAUUUGCGCCUUGUUUGUGCCGGAUUUUGUUUUAAAAAACAUGGGCGCGGCGACUAGGGGGCAUCAUGCCCCCAGCACGUGGUUAGCGCCGAUACGCCCCUAGGCGGUGAUUUUUAGCGCCUCCUGGAAGGCCAAUGGCUGGAGAUGCUCUAACCUGACACUGUAGCUGCCAUAUGCUGCUCUUAGCGACAACCAAUAAGGUUUGGUAAGUCACAAGAACAAAGCAACGAGUGAUGCUUAAGAGUGAGACCAAAAUAUUGAGGACGCGUGUCCAACACUCUAAAUAGGAGAUUGGUCACGAGGAAUAGUAAAAAUCAUGAAGAAAGGAAAGCGCAUUUGCAAUGAUCCCAAAUACUCUUUUAGUAUCUCUAGUAUCAUUGAGCAACACAUGGGAAAAUAAGUUACAAACCUCCAUAGACGGUGCUAGCUGGGAAUGGCAAGGGGGCAAAAGGGAAAAUAUGGUUGUUUUGGGUGUGGAGGUGAGACUUUUUACUUCAAUCUAAGGUCGUCUAAAAAACUUCUUCAUUGAUUCCGCCUAAUCCAGGGGGGCAAUGCCCCCACUCCUAAUAUGUGCAUAGUUCUGCCACUGCGGGCUUACAUGAAAUCAACGCUAGCAAUUUGGUAUCUUGCUAAUCGGCACCACGACAACUUGAAUAGUGCAAACGAGAAACACAAGUCUUUGAGUGGAUGAUCUUGUGGUAUCAAGUGAAGAAUCAUGUCAUACGCCUGCCAAACUUUAUCCAUGGUCACUUUUUUGAACAUUUCACUAGGCCAUCAUUGAUCAUUUGUAUUAUAUCACCUGGGUGAAUAUUAUUUAUUUAAUGUAGUAACCACGAGGAUGGUUCUUCUGAUGUGCAAUGUAAUCCCAUGUAACUAUAAGUGGAGUUGAUAUAUUCUCAUCCACUUAUUGUUGGCUUAUAUUGUAUCCUAUAGUUUCUUCAUAUACCUGAUAAUAAACUUAGGGUUGCUUCCAAGUGCAAAUGAUCGCUUAGCCUCAUAAAACUCAUAAUAGUUGAAAAUGUUUUGGCAAAGAAAAGAACAAACAAAGUAGGAUCAAUCUGCUUUCGGUUGGAAGAUUGCUCCGGAACUCGGGCAUGUAGAAUCCCUCCGGGACUCCACCUCAUACAGUGUAGAUAGGAAGGUAGGAAGUCUGUACUACUUGAAGAACCUGCACCACAUGGGGAGCAAUGCCUCGAUGCUCCCUUUGAUCAAUGAGAACUAUUGUGCUGGUAUUGACUGACAAUUUGAACAAGGCCGGUCCACACUAACACAAGGAAGACAUGCUGCCCAUAGGCAGAUCCAUGUUAAUAUCUUCUAGUUGGAUAGAACAAUCAUGAUAUACUAGUUACGAAUAGUGGAGACAACAUAUGAUAUGAUCGGUAAGAACAAGGUGGUGGCACCGAGAAAGAUCAAGCAGGUCAAUGGAUGGUGACCAUAGAAUAACUGUGUGCGCCUAUUCUGAGCAUGACUCACGUCAAAAUGGUGUUCACCGCCACUUAUAGCUCUUAGUAUGUGUCGGUGUGAGGGGGGGGCAAUGCCCCCCUUCCCAGAAAGAUUUUUUCUAAGAGAGCUUAGACUAGAAAAACAAGCAUGCCCCCACCUCGACCCUCAGUUGGACUUUUCAAGCUUCACUAUUGUUUACCACCAAGAGAGUAUUCACUCAUAAGAUAUGCCCGCCCACAAUCUUAGAGAAGUCAACCAAUUCAUCGAUGGUGCAUUGUUUCAUAGAAGGUAUAGCCAUGAGUUGAAUAUUAAGUAUCAUCAUAUAUUAGUAUCUAUACUAGUACAUAUAUGUAUAAAGAUAAACAUCAUUACAAGACAUUAGACAACUCUUUUAUUACACAUGCGGGGUUCCACAUCAUCUUUCAGAUCUUAGUCAUCUAUUUUAUUUUUCCAAAUGACACAUAUAUGUAGGUUCUCCCCCACAUCAUACAAUUACUUUUUAAAUAUAAAAUAAAUAAAUAUUCACAUGACAAUAGUUAUGAUUGAUUAUUUUCCCAAUCUUAUUACUCUUACUGAUUACUUUUUAUAUUAUUGAAUAUGCAUUUGUUAAUAAUGAUAAGCUUGCAUUUCUAAAGUAAAAUCAUAGUACACCCGUGGAUGCAUUUGUGUUAAGAACUCUACACACUUUUGUUACUAAAUUUGCAUUUACGAUUCAUUUAUCAAAUAAUGGUAUUUUUAUUAGAUGUCGUUGCGAGAUUUCAAAAGUCUAUUCACCCCGACAUCAACAAUUCAACAUUACUAGUGUAUAUUUCCACCAAAUGCCACAUCAACGCAUAGCAUAAAUACAAGAUUUUUUAGAAUAUAAGUUGGUAGAAAUUUUGUAACAUGCACUACUCAAAGCACAUACAUAAUUAACGAGCAACAUUUUAUGUUCUUAAAGCCAAUAAAGAAUUGAAAUUGUAUCUAGGAAUUGAGGGUGAUGGAGAAAGCCCAAUCAAAGACGUGUCACAUUCUUGUAGGACAAGCUAGAGCACACGAGGUUUGCCUAAAUGGCCUGGUCUACCUAAGAGAGGUUAUCAAGGAAACCUUACGGUUGCAACCUAUAGUCUGUUAAUGCCUAGAAUAUGUUUACAAGAUUGCAAUAUUUCAAGGAUAUGACGUGCGUCAUGGCAUAAUCGUGAUAAAAAAAUAUGGGCAAUAUCUAGGGAUCGGAAGUACUCAAAUGAGCCAGAUAAGUUCAUAAAAGAGAGAUUCAAGGACGAGGAUGGUGUCCACUUUGAGUUUACUCCUUUUGGGAUAGGGCGGAGGAUUUGCCCAGGUAUAGUAUUUGUAUAUGCAAUUAUGGAAAUUGCUCGAGCUAGUCUUAUUUACCAUUUUGAUUGGGACCUUCACGGGGUAUUGAGCCUAAGGAAAUAGACAUAACAGAGGUGUUUGGAAUCACCAUUAGUAGGAAGGUUGAGCUAUUAUUGCAUCAUGUUGCUCAUUAUCCCCUCCAGAUGUAUAACAUUUUCAAAAGGCACAUGGUAAUGGUAUCAAAACAUAAGUGGCCGAAAUAAAUAGAUGUAUUAUCCAUGCGUAUGAACAAAUCUUAUGUAAUUGUGACACAUACUUUGUACCGAGUAUAUAUAGUACAAUAUGCAUAUUUGGAAGUAGAAAAUGUGGUCUUUAACAUUCCAAUGGCUUUUGUAUAAAAUAUCUUUAAUUUAUAAGGUGCAUUCGACUUCUCGUAUUUUCAGAAAUAAUUCACAAUUUUGGCUACGGUUUUCACUUAAUAUGAGUGUAAAUUUAUUAGUAAAAUGAUGUAUGACAUACAAAUAGUUUAUACAGAGAUAAAGUCUUAUAUACGCUUGUUCACGAAGGCUAUAUAAACAUGCAUGUGUUUGCACUCAAAAUUUUAAAACAUUAACCACAUCUAUAUUUAUAUGGAUCUUAUGCUUUGGAUUGGACGGAAUAUGUAAGUAUAGAACAAAGACUCUUCAGAUACCAUGGGCCCACAUGCCAACUGAUCUAGUGUGUGAUGAAAAACUACACGGAUACAUCCAUGCUCCUAACCGGCGCUAAAGGCGCCGGUUGAAGUUUCUGGCGCCCACCCGACUCCUAUUAUGGGCCAGGCCCAUGAACACGCCCACGCGACUCCUAUUAUGGGCCAGGCCCACGAACAUGCAGCAGUUUGAUGUAGUAGUAGCGCGAAAAAAAGUACUCAGAAAUUAUGGCGUUCCGAGGAAUCCAACUCGCAACCCUUGACUCAACUUACUGGUUGGCUAACCACUCGAGCAAAUACACAUUUCAGAAAUACUGCAGCGCGACGAUGUAUAAGAACAAAACACUGUAGCCAGGUAGAAUUUUGAAUUAAUUGCAAACAUUUUGAAAAAACGUGAUUUCUUCUGACAAAAGUCUUAUUUUUUUCGAAAGUUCACAUAUUUUAGAAAGAAUCACGAAUUAGAAUAAAUUUCAUCCAUUUACAAAAACUUCACAAAAUCUGAAGAAGUUCAUCGAUUUUUAGAAAAGUUCAUCGAUCCUCAAAAAGAGUUUAUCGAUUUUGAAAAAAGUUCAUCGACUUAAAAAAAUUUCACAAAAUCAAUUUUGAAAAAUAGUUCACAAAUUUGAAAAACAUUCAUCGAUUUUGGAAAAAAAAUCAUCAUUUUGGAAAAGGGUUCAUCAAAUUUGAAAAAAAAAGUUCAUCAAUAUUGGAAAAAGUUCAUCGAAUUUGAAAAAAAUUCAUCAAAUUUGGAAAAAAGUUCAUCAAAUUUGGAAAAAGUUCAUCCAAUUCAAAAAAAGUUCAUCGGAUUUGGAAAAAAGUUCAUCAAUUUUGAAAAAUAGUACAUUCAGGUGAACAAAAGAAAAAAAACACCGAACAAAACCAUUCCAAACAAAAUGAGGAAUUUUAAAAAAUAAUCACUAAUUGUAAAUAGUUCACGCAUUUAGUAAAGGAAAAAAGAAACAUAAAAUGAGAAAAGUAAAGUAAAAAACCGUUCCAAGAAAAGAAACCAGGAUUCCGCGACGUUUAUAUAUACAAAGAAUAAAUAAAACAAAGAAAACUUUUUGACACAUCGGUUCGCUUGUCGUAGUGGUUGGGGCGCUGCUCUUUGAACGUGGGAACCUGGACUCGAACCUUACCUCAAGCACUCCCUUUUUGCGUUGCUUCAGUUUGAAACAGAAGAAAAAACAAAUGACAACGGGCCGGCCCAGCGCAGCAGGGGGGUAUGCGCCCGAUUGUACGUAGUACUGUAACGGGCGCAGCGAGCGCCGUUUAGGAUUUGCCCACAUCCAAGGGCAAACAGAAGAAAAAACAAAUGACAAUGGGCCGGCCCAGCGCAGCAGGGGGGUGUGCGUCCGAGCGCCGUUUAGGAUUUGCCCACAUCCAAGGGCAAUGCCAUACGCCAAGGCUAUAUAUUGCCCGUACCGAGACGUAACUCGGUCUCGUCUCUGCGCGCGAGGGAGUGGGCCGGCCUAGUACUGUAGCAUCUCUGACUCGAUUUUUUUUCUCUAUUUGUAUUUUCUUAUCGAUUUUCACUAGUUGCAUCGGUUUUCUUUGGGUUUUUUGUUUCUUUCUUUUUCAACACAUGUCUACAUUUUUUCAUACACAUUGUACGUUUUUUUGUAUACAUCAGAAACAUUUUUUUAUACAUGUUUCAUAUUUGUCAAAUGCAAUUUUUCCAAAUAUAUUAUUACGCUGAACCUGAACAUGAGUGUUUACCUUUUUUUUCAUUUGUCCACUGUUUGUACUACGGCUUUCCUCUGGUAUUUUUCGUUUUUCAUUUCUUUUUUUCUUCGGUUUUCACUAUUUUUCUUCUUUUUUGUUCAGAAUAUAUAUAACUUUUUAUACAUAUUUUACAUUUUUUAUAUUCAUUAUGAACAUUUUUAAUACAUGUUUAAUAUUUUUCAUAUACAUGAUUACAUUUUUUUGAAAUACAUGUUUUGAUACUUACUUUUUUUCCAUGCAUAUUGUAAAAUUUUCAUAUACAUCUAAGAUAUUUUUUAUAUAUGUUUAACAUUUUAAAUACAUGAUUACCAUUUUUUUCAUAUACUCAUUUGAAGAGUUUUUUCCAAAUACAGGUUGAAAUAUUUCUGUCUAUGGCUACCGAGAGUUCUUCUACUAGAGAAUAGAUCUAAGAGCCCCUAGCUUCCCCUUAUAUACACGGUGGGAGCUAGAGGAGGGAGAUGUGAUCUGUCAUGCCGUCCUCCUUGGUUUGGAGUCCACCAUUGUCCCAGAGACUCUUAUGGGUCGUCCUGGACCCCUUCUUGUCUUCAUCUUGUCAGGCUCCCCUUGGAGAAGCCAUCAUCGGUGCAUGGCACCGAGAAAGCCGCUCGCAACAUGAUCGCGUCGUAGCCGGACACGAAGGCGACGUUGGCGGCUUAGGCAAUCGCGGAUGAGAACGCUGGUAGCUGCACGUCCUUCACGCUGCCAACGACACUUCGUUAGCGUCGGUGGCACGACGAGCGUGCCGCCCCGUCCACGUCCACCAUCCACCUCACGUCCACCGACGACGAAUAGGUCACGUACUCCGGUGAGGAGCAGUAGGGCAUGGGAAGCGGUGAGGCCAUGAGUCCUGUGAGCUGGUCCGUGUCCCAUGGCCUACUCUUCCUCGCCGGCGACCGCACCUCACUUCGAGGGGCUCAGAUGGCCGCCCGACAUGGGCACAGACGAAACAACAGGGACUCGGAGGACGUGUGCCACUUUAGAUUUAGACUAGAUUUAGGUCAGAUUAUUUUUGUUUAAUGGAAUUUGUUGAAAAUUUAAUGAGUGUGCUCCAGUUUAGAUGGACUGUAAAGGGGUUGGCUUAAGAUUGUUGCAGUACGGAUUAGGAAAGAUGAAGGCUAGGGUGGUCCGAAUUAACCAUGUUUCUUGUAAAAAAAAAGACGUGAUUUUGCCAUUGCGAAUGAGCACGGAGCUAAUAUUGUGGUGAGUUCAAUUUAACCAUUGUCCCUUGUAUUAAUUUUUAUUCUUUUAUCAACGGAAUGAUACUCAAUCUUUAUGUAUUCACAAAGAAAAAUAAGUUAUUUGUUUUGUGUCCUUUUUCCCGAGAAAUCAUUGGUCGCACUAUGCAUGGCUUGGUAAAAUGAAACAAGAACCUCCGUCCCAUAAUAUAAUAUCAUUUAUUUUAUUUCUUUAUUUUGCGAAUAGAUCGUUUAUGAGACGGAAGAAGUAAUAAUUAAGCAAUCAAAAUUUAGCACAUGAACUGCGCAUGGCGCGCGUGCAUCGUCCCCCCCGAACUGGCGUGCUGCCGGUCCCGACCAGCCGCUAGCUCCUGAUCCGUGCUGCUGCCCACAGAAUUCAACACGAUCUGCAGGCCUUGAAUGCCCAAAUCGACGCCAAUGCGAGGACCCGAUCCGUACGCUAAGCGCGUGAGAAACCGCCAUUCUAUAUUACUCCCUCCGUUCCAAAAUAGAUGACCCAACUUUAUACUAGCUUUAGUACAAAGUUGGGUCAUCUAUUUUGGAACGGAGGGCUCCUAGCCUCCUACCAUUAGCAUUGCUCGCCCGAUUAAUAUUAAUUACUGUACAUCAAAUCGCACGAGACCGCCGGCAAGAUCCAGAUCCGUACGCGGCGGCCAGCUCGCAUUAUUAACACAAGUGGCGGCCGAUGGAAGCUACCUAUCUCGUCCUCAUCCCGCGCCGUGCCGUGCCGUGCCAUGUCCGUCCCUUGAAGCGCAAACAAGAGAUCCAAUCAUAAGCACCUGCGUGGUUAUGGUGGAGCACAGCAGAUGCUUGUCAAACUCAGCUGCAACCGGAUCUUGUAUUUCAGGCUCGGCGGUCGGUUUUCUGUUGAGGAAUGCACGGCCACUUGACCCUCCUGAUCCUCCCGCGCCGACGAGGGCGCGGCAGUGCGUGCGUGCGUCUCAUCAUCGCACUCCGCAACCACCUGCCCGAGCUCGCGUCUCGUUUUCUCAGCGGGCACGCGUUUGCUCGGGGCCCGAUAAUGACUAUGGAUGCGUUUGGUUACUCGUCCCGACCCGCUGGAUACAAAAUCGAACCGUUUGGAUGGCUGGGUUGUAUAAAAAUCUUGCGCCGCACCAACCUCAAAAUAGUCCCGGGCUAGGUUGAGUGGGAAGGGCCAAAUCGGCCGUUUUCCCUAAGCCAGGCCCGGACCAGCCACGUAUGCCACUCGCAUGCACGCAUGGGUAAACGCAGGAGAGCGACGGGACGCUUCAUAACUAUCAUCGUUCACCCCCCUCACCGGCCACCGUUGAAUUCACACCACACUCUUCCCUCCCUUUCAUCACCCGCACUCUCGGUUUCCCAUGGCUGACCCUCGAGCUCACUCCCUCCCUCCCCUCCACCUCGCCUCCCUCGCUCUGCAUCGGCCCGCAACUGGUGGCUCGACGGCAUGACCAGGUCGGACGCCGACAUUUUGGCCGCAAUCUGGUUGUUGUCGCCGUUCUGCGCACGACGGACGCGGUCCUCGACCAUUGACACACUGGCCGAUGACGGUUCUUCGGAGGUGAUGGGGCAGGUACUAGUUCUUCGGCGGCAGCGGGAGGCGCAUCGGGUGAGCCCGAUGUCGCCAUUUUCACCCCCAUUCAGGGGUUUUCUACCCCCACUCCUGACCAAAGCCUAGGGUUUGUGGAUGGCGGCGACCGAUACAUCUACAAAUUUGGAGAUUUUUGCAUUGAUCAUGACUAAUGUCAUUGGCCGGAAGGCUUGAACAGUGCACUAAUCAUGCCACUGCCAUUGUGUUAUGGGCUUGAUCAUUGCAUUUACCAAGGCCAUUGUCAUUGGACAACAGCCCGCAUCAAUGAUCAAGGCCACCGACAUUUGCCAUAUGACUUGAUCAAUGCACUUAUCAUGUCAUUCCAAUUGAGCAAAAGCGUAGGGCCUCUUUGAUUCGUAGGAUUGCAAAAACACGAGAAUAUGAAAAUGUAUGAUUGAAAUGGCAUGUCCAUUGGAUUCAUAUAGGAUUUGAGUUUGUUUGAUUGUGUCAUGGAAAAAGUAAAGGAUUUCUUCCAAGAGGUUGGAGUGGAUAUUAGAAUUCCUGUAAAAUGUAGUACCGAUAAAUCCUUAGGAAAAAAUCCUACAAAAUUUAGGCCUCUUUUGGUUCAUAGGGUAGGAAAAUUAUAGGAAUAGGAAAGUCAUAGGAAAUGAGAUGACAUGUAUUUCAAAUCCUAUGAGUAGGAAUAGGAAAGGAGAUGCUCUUUGAUUUACAUCAUAGGAUUUUUUUUUCCAUUGAGUCUAGGCUAAUGUUUAUUUUCCUAUGAAAUGUGAAGGAUAGGACGAAUUCCUCCACAGGAAUAGGAUUCCAAUCCUACAAACCAAAGGGCUCUAAAGAAAUUUUUCCUAUAGAAACCCUAUCCUAUGAAAUUCCUACAAGAUUCCUCUAAACCAAAGGUGACCUUAAUCCUACGAAUCAAACGACCAGCGUAGAAAAAAUUCCUAAGGAUUCUAAUCCUUCAAAAAUCCUAUGAAGAUCCUUUGAAUCAAAGAGACCCGCAGUAGGUAGCACAAUUAAAAAAGGCGUAAUAGGUAGCACAAUUCAGUGGUGGAGCUAGACAACAUCUGCUGCGGGUGAAAUGUAAAAUAUAAUUGGUUCAGGGGGACCAAAAGCUAAAAAAAAGUACUCAUCUAUCCGACUACCCCUCACAAUAUUUUUUUCUUCACAAGUUGGUUCAAUGUUGGCCCAGGAGCCUAAAUAGCUCUGCCACUGGCACAGUUGACGGUCUAUGAUUUGUGCUUGUUGUUAAGACAUUGUGCACUGAUCAUGGACAAUGCCAUUGGUCGUAAGGCUUGAUCAGUGCACUGAUCAUGCUGUUGCCAUUACGUUAUGGCCUUGAUGAUUGCAUUGAUCAAGGCCAUUGUCAUUGGACAACAACCUUCAUCUGAUGCACUGAUCAAGGCCACUUACAUUAGCCAUAAGGUCCGAUCAGUCCACUGAUAAAUGCAGAAUGCCUUUGAUACGACCAAGCACAUUACUAACGGAUGUCUUUCCGAUCUGACAAGAUCAUGAAGACUGAUUGGGGGCGAGUUGGACGCGCUCCCGUCGUGGUUCAAGGUGCGGAGAUCGGUGAGGACUGGAUCCCGCACAACAAGUGUUACAUGAGGAAGAAGGUGACGAGGAGGAUACUGGAGAUGUCCAAGCCCAGGUCGACAUUGAGGUAUCAUCCAAGGCUAGGCCAUGAGCAUGCAUCCAUUCAGGCUCAUCGAUUUUAUAUGUCGAUCACCGACACCACGAGGACAUGGCCAUGUUGGUCAUCCCCAAGCCUUUUCCAGUCGAUGAUCAAGAAAUGGAUCUACAUCCCUAUCCUUCGUGUGGUGAAGUUGUCAGCGAACAAGACGUGCAACUACUAGGUGCGUGUGGAGUGGUUUCGGGGCCAGAUCGUGCUAGGCAUGGGGUGGGAUUACUUUGCCACAAGCAUAAGAUCCUCCUCGACGACCUCCUCGGCUUCAAGCUCUCAAACCUGGGGGUUCAAAGUGCAGGUCUAAGACGCCGGAAGUCUACCAUCACCAUGUACAUAUGCCACAAGUUCGUCUGUCGAGGCCCAUAUGAUACCGCCUUCCAAAGUUCUACGUGGUCCUAUUGCCUGUCUAGUUGUCUCGACAUGUUAGCUGUUAAACCGUCGUUUGUUGAUGUUUAAACUGUGCAUUUUGGUUAGGGAAACACCACCCUGGGUUCGUGCAGGGGCAUGUGAUGCCCAUGUUGGCUUUAAACUGUUGGGGAACGUAGUAAUUUCAAAAAAAUUCCUACGCACACACAAGAUCAUGGUGAUGCAUAGCAACAAGAGGGGAGAGUGUGAUCUACGUACCCUUGUAGACCGACAGCGGAAGCGUUGUGACAACACGGUUGAUGUAGUCGUACGUCUUCACGAUCCGACCGAUCCAAGCACCGUUACUUCGGCACCUCCGAGUUCUUGGCACACGUUCAGCUCGAUGACGAUCUCCGGGCUCCGAUCCAGCAAAGCGUCGGGGAGGAGCUCCGUCAGCACGACGGCGUGGUGAUGAUUUUGAUGUUCUACCGUCGCAGGGCUUCGCCUAAGCACCGCUACAAUAUGACCGAGGUGGAAAAUAUGGUGGAGGGGGCACCGCACACGGCUAAGGAACGAUCACGAAGAUCAACUUGUGUGUCUAGAGGUGCCCCCUUGCCCCCGUAUAUAAAGGAGCAAGGGGGAGGGGGCGGCCGGCCUAGAAGGGGGCGCGCCAAGGGGAGUCCUACUCCCAAUGGGAGAGGAAAAAGGAAAAGGGGGCUGCGCCCCUUGUCCAAUUCGGACCGGAGGGGGGGCGCAGGCCUCCUUCCUUUUGGCCUCUCUCCUCUAUUCCCGUAUGGCCCAAUAAGGCCCAUAUACUCCCCGUCAAAUUCCCGUAACUCUCCGGUACUCCAAAAAAUACCUGAAUCACUCGGAACCUUUCCGAUGUCCGAAUAUAGUCGUCCAAUAUAUCGAUCUUUACGUCUCGACCAUUUUGAGACUCCUCGUCAUGUCCCGGAUCUCAUCCGGGACUCCAAACUCCUUCGGUACAUCAAAACUCAUAAACUCAUAAUAUAACUGUCAUCGAAACCUUAAGCGUGCGGACCCUACGGGUUCGAGAACAAUGUAGACAUGACCGAGACACGUCUCCGGUCAAUAACCAAUAGCGGAACCUGGAUGCUUAUAUUGGCUCCUACAUAUUCUAUGAAGAUCUUUUAUCGGUCAGACCGCAUAACAACAUACGUUGUUCCUUUUGUCAUCGGUAUGUUACUUGCCCGAGAUUCGAUCGUCGGUAUCCAAUACCUAGUUCAAUCUCGUUACCGGCAAGUCUCUUUACUCAUUUCGUAAUACAUCAUCUCACAACUAACUCAUUAGUUGCAAUGCUUGCAAGGCUUUAUGUGAUGUGCAUUACCGAGAGGGCCCAGAGAUACCUCUCCGACAAUCGAAGUGACAAAUCCUAAUCUCGAAAUACGCCAACCCAACAUGUACCUUUGGAGACACCUGUAGAGCACCUUUAUAAUCACCCAGUUACGUUGUGACGUUUGGUAGCACACAAAGUGUUCCUCCGGCAAACGGGAGUUGCAUAAUCUCAUAGUCAUAGGAACAUGUAUAAGUCAUGAAGAAAGCAAUAGUAACAUACUAAACGAUCGGGUGCUAAGCUAAUGGAAUGGGUCAUGUCAAUCAGAUCAUUCACCUAAUGAUGUGAUCCUGUUAAUCAAAUAACAACUCUUUGUCCAUGGUUAGGAAACAUAACCAUAUUUGAUUAACGAGCUAGUCAAGUAGAGGCAUACUAGUGACACUAUGUUUGUCUAUGUAUUCACACAUGUAUUAUGUUUCCGGUUAAUACAAUUCUAGCAUGAAUAAUAAACAUUUAUCAUGAUAUAAGGAAAUAAAUAAUAACUUUAUUAUUGCCUCUAGGGCAUAUUUCCUUCAUAAACACCCCCUACUAAGCUGCUGACGUGCUUAGUCAUGUAUGUCUAGUUCUGAAUUUGUUGUGUUGUUGCUUAUUUCUGCAUAAUGUGUGUUUGUUGUUCUUUGCUGUUGUGUUGUUCUUGUGUAGUGUGGUGGUAAGCCCGCCACAUUUAAAAGGGGUGAGCACAUUGGCAAAUUCGCACACAGCCAAACAACUAUGAUUUGCAGUUGCUCACCCCUAAAGCACAUACGCGAGCAACCAGAUGCUAGACAUUCAAAUGCUCAAUGGUGCAAUGCAAGGUUCCAAACAAUGUGCAUAAGGUGGUCUAGAGCCUGAAUACCCUUAAACAGGCUCUACUGGCGACAGAUGCAAAGUGCCCAAAAUCCAUGCGAGUAACCAAACACAUCCAAUGCGUAGAAACGCAUGCACGAAGGACCAAAGUAACCUGGGCGAUCUGGUCCUUGGUAUCGAUUUGUAGUAGCCCGAGUGGGAGAAUUAACGUGAGCUCAUUGUGUUGUCAUGUAUCCAGUUCUUCCCCAGGCUCUUCUUCCUCCUCUACCUCGGUUGCUUCAUGGGAAAGGAAAGGAGCUCAUGGGUGCGUGCUUCUCUUCAAUGCUCUUGCUUCACCCCAAAAUUCUAGUAGCCUUCAGACGCCCAUCACACAUGUAAUCAAGGUGAGAGCGAACCAUUUCGUAGUUGCAUGCGCAAUAGCGACAACAUGUCAUUGAUGCACAUAGACAACCAUGGCCACUUUGGCUCGGACUUGGCUUUGGGUCACGACAAGCUUUGUAGGUAACACCCAUUGACGCCUAUACACGGUACACAUGUAUCUCAUAUGUAUCCGAUGAUCAUGUGCUUCUAAAGGUAUUAGGUAGGAUGUGCGGCUUGCCGCACCCAAGCCGGGAGCCCGUCAUAUCCAACACGUAACAAAGUCAUUGAAGCAUUGCAUAUAAAAUGAAAGGAUUUUUUUUAUAUUUUCCACUCUAGAUUUUGCCAACCUUUCUUAUGUUACUCUAGCUUUUGAUGUUUCGCUUCUGUUACUCCUAGCUGUUGACAAUACAUCUUCAUGGCAAAAGCAAAAAUUUCAGAGUGUCAAUUAUGAUACUAUUUCAAAAGCUAAGAGUGACAAAAGUGAAAUGAUAUUAUUUCACUUUUGUUACGGAAUGACAAUUGUGAUACAUUGUCAAGAGCUAAGGGUGACAAAAAUAAAACAUCAUUUUUUAGUGUGGCAUAAACAAAAUUGGCAAAACCUAGAGUGCUAAAAAGACAAAUCUAAGGGCCCAGAUUGACCGGUGAAAUAUGCAACGCUCACAGCAAGCCAGCCCAAGUUCCGACGGCCAAUGACACUGGAAAACAUAUCUAACUGUCUAGAACCUCCGAUGAAUGUGAAAGCUUGGUUUCACCCAGCUAUGUAACUAUGGGAUGGGAUGGGGUACGUACGUGACACCAGGGGCGAUUCUACUGGGGGGCUUUAACAGGCUCAAGCCCCCCCCUCCAGCACUGUAAAAUUUGUUUCUACUACUAGUUUUAAGGCCCAGCCCAACAUUUGCAGGCCCAAUCCAACACAUAUUUGCAUGACCCAGACAGCCCAGCCCGCCCUCCAUUUUUUUCUAGAUUCGCCACUGCGUGACACGGUGAUCGGCCACGGUGAUCGGCCUCGCACGUAUACCAUUGGCAUGCUAAAAUACUGGUCUGCGGUCCUCUAGACCGGAGAGCAGAAGACGGCCUGCACGCGACACAGUGCGCAAACUCACGCUGUUCACCUGGUGGUGAUCAUUGAUCAGUCUCUCUCAAUCAGAGACGAGUUAUGGUUUCCAGAGCGUCUAUCUACGGGCAAGACCGGCCUAGUAAAACGAGCCCCGUGUCGCUCCCCGCGAGCGACCCGAGCGCUAGCCCUAGCCGCCGGUCGCCGCCGCACCUCCAGCCUUCCUCUCCCCGCCGCCGCCGGUGAGCGCCGCCGGGCAAAGCACGCGCGGUGUCGGCGGCGGCGGGUUUUCCUCCCCUGCAAGCGAGGCGGGCUGCGGGGGCUGCUGCGCUUAGCGAAGGCGNNNNNNNNNNNNNNNNNNNNNNNNNNNNNNNNNNNNNNNNNNNNNNNNNNNNNNNNNNNNNNNNNNNNNNNNNNNNNNNNNNNNNNNNNNNNNNNNNNNNNNNNNNNNNNNNNNNNNNNNNNNNNNNNNNNNNNNNNNNNNNNNNNNNNNNNNNNNNNNNNNNNNNNNNNNNNNNNNNNNNNNNNNNNNNNNNNNNNNNNNNNNNNNNNNNNNNNNNNNNNNNNNNNNNNNNNNNNNNNNNNNNNNNNNNNNNNNNNNNNNNNNNNNNNNNNNNNNNNNNNNNNNNNNNNNNNNNNNNNNNNNNNNNNNNNNNNNNNNNNNNNNNNNNNNNNNNNNNNNNNNNNNNNNNNNNNNNNNNNNNNNNNNNNNNNNNNNNNNNNNNNNNNNNNNNNNNNNNNNNNGGCGAGUGGCGGAGCGCGCGCCGCCGGCGAGAGGAGGUCGCGGGUCCGACAGGCGCGGGGUCCCCGCGGUCGGUCGGGGAAAAUCUGGCCUCUGCUGGCUUGGGGAAGGGCAAGCGGGGGUGCCAGCGCGCGCACCGUUGGCGCGAGGAGGCCUCUGACGCCAUAGGAACGGGGUCGGCCGGCCAGAUCUGGCCGUUAGCUUGCUCACGGCGGGAUGGUUUGGCGCCGCGGGCCUGCUAGUCGGAUGGCUGCGUUUCGUGUCUGGGUCGGCUACGUUUUUGGCGUGUGGAGGCAGUAGCGGUGGAGUCGGGGUUGCUGGUGGUGUCUCUCCUUCAAGUGCGUACACGCCAGCUCCCUUGAGUGGUGGCGCCUUCCAGUUUGCUUGGGGCUUCACGAGGCUUGCGCAGACCAGAUCCAGCACGAGCACUCUUGGCCUUGCGCGCGGUGGUGCGGACGGCACAAUUUGGCUUGGAUCCCGCCCAGUUCUGCGUGCUGCAGUGCGGACCGGCUAUGUCCGGCUUUCCCUCUGCCUUCUUUGUGCGCUGCGAUGCGGAGGAUCGCCCAGUUCUGCGCACGGAGAUAGAGAAUGGCCAGAUCCGGCUUGGCUCGCCCAGGGUCUGCGAGCGGCUAUGUGGACCGGCCAGGUUGGCGUGUGCUCACCGAGUUUCUGCGUGCGGCUUUGACAUACUCGUUAUUGGUAGUGUUCGCAUGGGGCUGUGAUGCUCCGUGGCGCUGGUGGCCUCGGAUCCUGGAUUUGUUGGUGGAAGACUCGGCUCCGGAUGAAAAUCAUGCAUCGACAUUGUCGUUGCCGGCGGUAGCGGCAUCCACGGAUGUCGUCGUCCUCCUUGGAGGUAUCGUUGUGGAGCCGCUUGCCCUUCCUACCCAACGGCGUGAGAUCUUCGGGUGAAAACCUAAGAUCAGGCAGUGCCAGAUCGGGUGACGGCGGUGUUCUCAACAUCGUUUUCCUUCUUGGGGGCGUCACCUUGGAGAAUCCCGACGAUGGAUCCGAUGGUGUUCACGAUUGAUGGUAGAGUUUGGGUUCGUGGUGCUGCCGACAGGUCCUUUUUUUUUCGCACUGCUUUUUCAGUGCUUUCCUCCUCUGAGGAUUUUUGUAACACCUUCUUCUGAUCAAUGAAUUUGGCAGUUUUCUUACCAACAUUCAAAAAAAAAUCAGAGACGAGUUCCCGCGCCGAGAUCCCGACCAGAUUUGCUGCCGACGGGUGCGGCGGCAGGGCAGAGCCUGCGUCGCGCCGGACGAUGGAUCCCACUUUGCACAGACGCGAGUCGGGCUGGGACCUGAGAUACACACGACACGAGCAGGACAUUAUUUACUUGAGGUUCAUCAGGGGCACCGUUUACUUUCCUUGUUGUUUUACCGUUGGCUUGCGCGCGCGCGCGUGUGUGCAUGCUGAAUCUGUGAUCACACUUUCUCUCUAAAGACACCACGGCGCCGUGCUUGCUUGACCGGUUGGAGCACGCAGAUUUGUUUGACCAUCCGCUUUUGGACAUGGAAGUGCUAUCUAGUGGUAUGCUAUCAGCUUUGUGUGUUACUGCCUGGGGCAUCUGGUGUAGUAAAACAUGCUGGAGGAGUAGUAGUAGUAGAAUAACGAGGUUUUUUAGGCCACCUCCACCACGCGACCCCAAACGGACGUCCGGAUUAAUCGGAUUUUGUUCCUUUGGGGCGCCGAUGGAUUCGCCCGUGUCCGGCUUUGUCAGAUGGGUCGUGCGUGUGCCCACCGCGCGGCCGCACCCCAAAUCGUGUCCGGGGUGGACGUGGAUAAAAAAAUUAUAAAAACUAGAAUGAAAUAACUAAAAAAGUAAAUAAACGCAUUUAAAAAAACAUAAAACAUAUAUAUGGGUUGGCCACAUAACGGCCCAGUUUCCACGGCCACUUAAAAUGCCCAGUUUCAUAAUUAACAUAUAAAAAAUAAUAAAAAAACGCCUCCCGCGCGCUCCUGCCGUGCCCGUCGGUGCCGUGGCCGUCGCCGUCUUCACUGGCCGCCGGUGUCGUGUCCACAGGUGGGCCGGCGGUGCGUGGUAGACGGGGGCGGGCUGGACGACCGGAGGUGCCUGCACCACCUCCUCCCGGGGCGACGCCUCCCGCUCCGGUGACUGCGGCGGAGUGGGGCACCAGUUCACGCCCACGCGGCGGCCAUCUCCGGAGCAGUGCAGGACCAGCCCCACCCCUGGCCCAGCAGCUGCUGGAAUGCGGCCGGCAUCGCCUCCUCCGUCGCCUCCUCCGUGACGGCCGCCAUCUGCAGCUCCGGGAAGGCGACGUCCCCGGCAGCAGAGAGGGCCAUGGUCUUCUCCAGGCCGUUCCACUGCCGCUCGUCGUGCGUGUUCAUGGAGUCAUCCAUGACAUGCUGCAGGAGACGGGCCUCCUCCUCCGCUGUCAUGCGAGGAGGGGGAGGUGGCGACGGAGAGGGGGAAGGCGACGACGUGGGCGUCAGGCCGCGCACCCAGGUACGCCCCCGCUCCUGUCGUGGCCGCCGCGGCCCCGUCGAGGUGCCGGCGAAGAACGAUGCGCGCCUGGUGCCGUGCUCGUCACAAAACCAGGUGUCCCAGAGUCCGGAGUCGGGGGCGUACCUGGGGUCGUAGAAGAGGUCGUCGGGGAGGCGGCGGUGACGCUCAAUCUCCUUGUCGCGCGCACGGCCGCUCGUCGGGACCGGCGGGAUCGGGACUCGGUCGGCGGAGAGAUGCCAGUUAUUGGGGAGAUGGACGUCGCUCCAGGGGAGCGGCGUCCUCGUCUCCCAAUAACGGCGGCACACCGACGAGCGGACGUAAUGCCGGCCGCGCUCGCCGGCGAAGGUGGGCGCGAUGGAGAAGGCGGGCGGUGCGGGGGCCCGGUGUGCUGGCGAUGGCGAGCCGCGGCGGCGUCCCGACAAGGAACUAGCCUCGCGGUUGUGCAUGCCUUUGCGGCCCAUGGCGGCGGGCGGCCGGCCGGCGAGGUGUUGGCUAGGGUUUGGGACUGGGGCUGUCGGGUUUCGAGGAGGCUGCGGGAUGGCGUGAGACAGUGUGGACGACUACCCGUCCACGCUUCCCACUUAAAAAAGGACAGCGACCGUUUGACGUGCGGAUGACAAGUGGGGCCGCCCGCUCGUGUGCAUUGAUGUGGGCGGGUGGGAGGUAGGUGGCCGCCUGCCACGCGGCCCUGACGCGGACGAGGCGCGCGUCCGUUUCUUGUCCGUCGCGACCUAAACCCGGCGCAAGUUUGCGCUCGAAAUGUAUCGGCCCGGACACAAAACGGACAAGACGGGUUUGGGCCACUGCGCGCUGGGCCGCCUCCUUUGUCCAUUUUACCACAAACUGAUGGGAUCGGACAGGAUAGGGUCACACGGUGGUGGUGGAGUUGGCCUUACGUCUGCAAAUAGCCACGUGCAUUGUUGGGGGCCGCCUGCCCGAUGGACCCGGGAGGGAGGGGCUCCUCUCCUCUGCGCGGGCAUGUGGCCGUGGCGGUCAAGAGCUGACUCGGAGCACCACAUGCAUGCGCGGAACACGGGCCUGCACCUGGACGGCCACUGUGACAACGUUUGCCGUGUCCUAUUUACACGUCGCUUUUACCAUGCUCCCACCCGCCCAGCUCCAAGUCUGCAAUCAUCCACGACCGUGCCGACGCAUCCAGCAAAUCCCAAGCCAUAUUACGGACGUCGACCGCGACGCGUCCACACAACUGUCCCUGUUUGAUCGUACACGUCCAACAACACGGCGUACGCAGGCGCGCAUACGCUGUGCAUGUGACAACAACAUACAUUUGAAACGGAUGGUUGGACGCCUACGAGUGAUCGAUCGAGCACCCUCGCCCACCGAUCGCCGCGCAGGCAGCACCGCACGGCCGCGUCGGCACCGCCUCGUCCUGUUGCGACCUGUGAGGAUGCUCUGGUCAAUGACUGGACGUGCGCCGCAGUGGAACGUACACGCGCCUGGCCGUCCCCAUGCCGCCGCGCUCUCCGCUCCCAGGCGCCUCCAGCCGCGGCAUCCCUCAUCCCGGGAUGUCCUUGGCGCCGAGCGUGGGCGCUGCGCGCCGUGACGCGCCACGCCGGCCACCGAGCAGGCCGAGGCCACCACGAGAGCACCGCUAGUACUGGCACUGCACACGACGCAGAGGGGGAGAUGGGCACAAAUGGCUGGCGUGCGCGCGCAGGUACACGAGGCGAGCGCGAGCGGGCGGGAUGGGUAUGCCCUGCUCUGGUGGUUGGGGCUCGGGAUCACGGGGCGUGGUGGCAAACGGUGUGGCCACGGCACACACACGGCCGCGGUGACCGUGCAUGCAAAUGUGCUUUGGGUCGUUGGUUCAGCACAGCGUGGUGGGCCGCCUGUGCCGCCACUAAUGAAUCGCCUCCGACCUCUCUCUUUUCCUCCUUUUAAUCCGCCCCGCUUUGCACAAAGGCGCUGCAUCCUCUCUGGUGUUUGUCGUCAGCGGCCGGGGAAGGGAUCGGUGGGCGCAAGCGUGCGUGCGUGCGUGCUGUUUCGGGUGCAUCUUCGCGAUGCGAAUGUGCAUCCAUCUUCGUCCGAUCCAUCCUCGUAUGUCCGUCCACUGACGCCUUUGCCUUUCCCUUGCACUGCCUGCCGCUACACACGCCUACACCAUGCCUACAUCGGUGCAACGUAGCCUGACCUCGACCUGCAUUUCCAGGCUCGCUCGGCCACGACGAGUGAAUUCAAUUCAAUGCGCUUGCAUAAUGACGACAUACGCUCUCUCUAGGCUCCUGUGCCACCGUUUAGACACACAGAGGAGGAAUGCGGCGACGGAUGGUCUCUACAACCUACCGCGCUCUGCUCGCUGGGUCACUCUCGUUCGUCCCAUGUGCCCUCGUCCAGAGGCCUCGCCGUACCGAAAGAUGCCUUUCUCUUUCUCUUUCUCUUCCUCUUUUCUUUUCUUUCGUUCCCGUUGCAUCAAAACGGCCGGUAACCAACCAGUCAGUCAGGCUUCCCAGUGUGGAAGUAGCAGCAGCGAGAGCGAGGCGUCUGUGUAAGAGGCAGCAGAGCCGCUGCCGCUUUCGCUCGCCACUUUCUUUUGUUGGAACGGGACGAAAGCGGGUUCCGGCGCCAAACACUCAAAAAAAAAAUGAAACUCCAUGGGCACUAGCACCCACGGUUUAUUGAUAUAGAAGAAGCAUCCCUCAUGAGAAUUUCAGAAAUUCGUCCCCGACGUGGAUCGAACUCUGGUCGUUAGGUUUACAAUCAUGCGCCCCCAACCACUGGGCUAUGCCCACGUCCUCGGCGCCAAACACUCAACGAGCACCGCAUGGCCAUGGCCUCCAUUGCUUGCUGGAUGCAACCAAGCUUAGCUCCUAAGCUACACCUACGAGCACAGCAGCAGUAGUACGUUGCAGCCUCGUGGCUGCGUCUUAUCUUGGCUACACCCGGAAUAUCCAUGCGUGACACGCUUACAAUUACUAUAGUUGCCAGUAAUCAUGUUUUUAGCAGGCACAACACAGCACAACACACGCAGUUGUGAAGCUCCUUUUGAUAAACGGACAGAGUGUGUACUCGCUCUGUGACGGAAAGACGAGCCCGGUGUCAGUGGCUCGCCGUGGCAGAGCUGGCCACGUCCAUCUAGGUCAUCAACAUCGCGCAGGCACGGGGAGGGAGGCCACCAUGGCAUGCAUCGCAUGAUGAGCUGCCAUGUUUGUACCAUUGCUAGCGCCACUACUCCGCGCUGUCCCACACACACACGCGCCUACAGUGGGUGGGACUCUUCUCUUUUCUUCCCUCUCCCUCCCUCCGCCCUCUCUCACUCUCUCCGUCCAAGCAGUUUCGCUCGCUCGGUAGAGAUUAUAAUAUCACGAUGGGCCAAAAGCUCCAGUGAGCCGCUGCCCCCACCGGCCGACGCUCCUCCCGAGAACCUCGCCAAGGAAUCCUAGAAUCCAAGAAACCCACCAGCAAAACACAGGCCAGCCAGGUCCGUCCGUGGUGGUGGUGGAGGGAAGGGAAGAAGACCAGUGAAGACCACGCAAGGCACAGGCGCAUUUGCGUGCGCCCGUCCUCGCGUGCUGUCUUCUCCUUCCUCCUCCGACCGCCGCCUUCCCGGACAGUGAUGGCGCGGCGGCAGGCGGCUGCGGCCCUGCUGUGCCUGGCCGUCCUGGCGACGGCGGCGGCGGCGUCCGUGCUGGCGGCCGCGGUCACCUACGACCGGAAGGCGGUGCUCAUCGGCGGGCAGAGGCGGAUCCUCUUCUCCGGAUCCAUACAUUACCCCCGGAGCACCCCAGAGGUAGCCCCCAGCUGCGUUCUUCGGAGACCGUCUCCUUUUCCUUUCCUUUUCUUGCUUUUUCCGGGGAAGGGGACGGGGGUUUCGUGUGUGGCUGGUUAAUGGCGCGGUUCCCGGUUUCUUGCUUGGUAGAGCUGCCAUGAAAGAAAAGUGAAAUGCCGCUUGCUUGCCCGUACGUUUCCCCCUCUUUGCUUUGCGCUCAAUGCUUUCAAGCGACAGAUAUCGACAUUUCCCUAUCCUUGCGGGCUCCUUUUUUUGUAGAUUUUCUUGAAAUGCUGCUCGUUUUGCUUGCUCCUGCGACCAUUUUUGGGGCAUUUUGCUUCCCCAGCACCGCUAAUAAUCUACAGUAGCUUGUUACUAGAUUUUCGUUCACAUAUUUCCGAAUCUCUGGCUGAUUGACCGACCACUGACUGCCCAUUGACGCUGCUCCUGUCCAUCAGAUGUGGGAAGGGCUGAUUCAGAAGGCGAAAGACGGAGGCUUGGACGUGAUCCAGACCUACGUCUUCUGGAACGGCCACGAACCAACCCCCGGAAACGUACUGCAUCCACACUUAUCAUCACCUACCAUUCAGACAUUCAGUGUGAGCUGCUACUAUAAGAGGUGUGGAAUUCCAGUGGUAAUUUUCUCGCUUGGUGCAGUACAACUUCGAGGGGAGGUACGAUUUGGUCAAGUUCAUUAAGACGGCCCAGAAGGCCGGGCUGUUCGUGCAUCUCCGCAUCGGUCCCUACAUUUGCGGGGAGUGGAAUUUUGGGUAUGCACAUUUACUCCUCGCCACCACUUGUUAAGAUGAAUCACCAGCACAGUAGAAAUGGCACUAUUUACUGGCAUUGUGCUGCUGCUUCCAGUUUGGUGAAUGCGUGUGAUUUGCUUUUGUUUGUCACUCACUUCACUUGACUUGUGUCUGUUCACAUGCAAUUUAUGCAGCGGCUUUCCGGUCUGGCUCAAGUAUGUUCCGGGCAUCAGCUUCAGGACGGACAACGAGCCUUUCAAGGUCCGUGGGAGUCCACAAUUUCUGGAUCUUGUCUGGGAUGCAGGUCUUCUUUUGCUUAGGUUUGUGGCAAUGACCCUUUGUUUUUGCAGGCGGCAAUGCAGGGGUUCACUGAGAAGAUUGUGGGGAUGAUGAAGAGCGAGGAGCUCUUUGCUUCCCAAGGUGGCCCUAUUAUCCUUUCUCAGGCAAGUGUGUAUAAACAUUCUCUUCGAGCUAAAUGCAAAUCUUUGACAUGGCAUGGUUGUUUACUGCAUGUUGAGAUAGUUGCCAACUUGCCAUUGUACAUAACGCUGAAAUAAAUAAAUUUUCUUCCAUGACACGCGAAACUGCUCAUUCAUUUGUUGCAAGUGCUCUGCUUAUUGUUGCCUUCUUUUCUUGCUUGAAGUUAGUGAUUCAGCAUUUGUCAACAUGGUUUGUCUUAAUCUGCGUAUUUUCCCUGGUUGCUCAUGGUGUUGGCUGUUGUUAUUUGGAUUGCAGAUUGAGAAUGAGUAUGGGCCAGAAGAGAAAGAGUUUGGGGCUGCUGGCAAGUCAUACAGUGACUGGGCGGCAAAGAUGGCCGUGGGAUUGGACACCGGUGUGCCGUGGGUGAUGUGCAAGCAGGAAGACGCACCAGAUCCAGUGGUAUGUUGAUCUUGUCCCAUGCCGAAUUAAAAGGAUCAUGGCGCAAAUGUAGCAAACUGAUGAUUAUUUGACAUCUUAGAUUCUUAAGGGUAUUUUUCUUUUUCUUUUUUGCUCAUGUAAGUUCACGUGUUUAUUUCUGUGAGCUCAGUGCAGGUUAUAUCCAUAAGGCAUUCCAUUUAGUGUUUUAGGUUUCUAAAAUACCGGUUCCAGUUCGUAUACAGAAUAUAGACUCGUUUUACAACUAUAAUCAAAUCAGUUUGUAUGCUACAUCUUGUCGAACUUGUUGAACUAGUAGUUCAAAUUACAUUUAAUUGUCCUUUGUACAGAUAAACGCAUGCAAUGGUUUCUACUGUGAUGCAUUUACACCGAAUGCGCCUUCCAAGCCUACGAUGUGGACUGAAGCUUGGACUGGUUGGUAAGUUCUCUUUCGAGGGAAAUAUCCAAUCUACUGUGAAAAGUAUACAGCUACAGUUUUCAUUGAUGCAGUUCACAUGUUCAUCAUUUAGAUUCUGUUGAUCCUAGUGUUUCUUUGUACAAUUGCAUUAAUAUGAACAAUAAUGUAGGUUUACUGAAUUUGGUGGGACCAUCCGUAAACGACCAGUUGAAGAUCUUUCAUUUGCUGUUGCUCGCUUCGUGCAGAAGGGUGGUUCUUUUAUCAACUACUACAUGGUAUGACAGAAAACAAGUUGUAGAUAUGCUUAUUACCAUUCGUAAGUUUUCUUGAAGCUUCCUGCGGGGAGAUAUUCACGUUUUUUCUUCUGAACAAAGUAUCAUGGUGGAACAAAUUUUGGGCGCACCGCUGGGGGUCCCUUCAUUACAACAAGCUAUGAUUAUGACGCUCCACUUGAUGAAUAUGGUAAGUUUAGAAAUAUAGUGUUGCUGUCAGUAUGGUCACUAUCUGUAUCUAUUAUUUGUCUAUUUUGAGCAUGGUGGUGACUUUUGACAUAUAAAUAAUUGAAUUUUUGCUAAAUGGGCUAGAUAAUUCUUACCCAAACUCUGCUUUGUUAUUAACCAGGACUUGCAAGAGAACCAAAGUAUGGACAUCUUAAAGAACUUCAUAGAGCUAUUAAGUUAUGUGAGCCGGCAUUGGUUUCUGUUGAUCCAACUGUGACUUCCCUUGGAAGUAUGCAAGAGGUUUGUCUUGAUUACCUUUUCCCAUCACUGAAGUGCAUAUAUCCCAUAUGGCUUGAUCUGUCACUUACAUCUACAACCUAUAAUUCAGGCCCAUGUCUACCGAUCUCCAUCUGGUUGUGCAGCUUUUCUCGCAAACUAUAAUUCUAACUCUCAUGCGAAAGUUGUCUUCGACAAUGAGCAUUACAGUCUACCACCUUGGUCAAUCAGCAUCCUUCCUGAUUGCAAAACAGUUGUUUAUAAUACUGCAACAGUAAGUUCCACUUGUGCUUAUGAGUAUGGUAUUACGUCGUUCUCCGGUCUUGUUAUUUCAAUCCAUUAUAUGUGGAGGUUGUUUAGCUGGUCCAAAAUGCUAUUAUCUCCACAGGUUGGUGUUCAGACAUCUCAAAUGCAAAUGUGGUCCGAUGGGGCCUCUUCAAUGAUGUGGGAGAGGUAUGAUGAGGAGGUUGGUUCACUGGCAGCUGCUCCAUUGCUCACCACAACUGGUCUACUGGAACAGCUUAACGUCACAAGAGACACCAGUGAUUAUCUUUGGUACAUGACCAGGUAAUUGCCACACGAAUAAGUUACAGGCCUCUAAAUCCAACUUCAUUGGAGUUUGAUCUGUUUGUAAAACUUUCUUCGUUUUCUGUUUAUGAAAAAGCGAGGUUCAUGUCUUUCAUGCUUUUUGUUUUAGAAAAGGAGGAUUAUCACUGGCCUCUGCAUCCUUUCAUGCUGAAACAUAAUAUGCUUAAAAUGAUUAUUGUAGUGUGGAUGUAAGCCCCUCUGAGAAGUUUCUACAAGGUGGCAAGCCUUUGUCUCUCUCUGUGCAAUCUGCUGGCCAUGCCUUGCAUAUCUUUAUCAAUGGACAGCUACAAGGUUUUCCACUUGAAACUGCUCUCUUGUCUAUACAACACCAGCACUGUGGAAACUGAAUAGUGAAUAAAAUAAUUUUUGUUCUGGUGUAGGUUCUGCUUCUGGAACCAGGGAAGAUAAAAGAAUCUCAUACAAGGGCAAUGUUAACCUUCGUGCCGGUACUAACAAAAUUUCACUGCUGAGUGUUGCUUGCGGGCUGCCGGUUCGUUCCCUCAUCGCUGCAUGAAUUUAUAAACUUACAGCUAAUGAUCUUGCAUAUAUGACUGAACUAUUCUUGUCCCUGUAGAAUAUCGGGGUUCAUUACGAGACAUGGAAUACUGGUGUCAAUGGUCCUGUUGUGCUUCAUGGUUUGGACGAAGGUUCGCGAGAUCUGACCUGGCAGACAUGGACCUAUCAGGUGAGUGCAGCAUCUAGUAACUUUGUUGUUGACUAAUUUAUGUUCAAGUAAGAAAGAAGGUAAAUAAAUGUACCUUAUCCAUUCUAGGUUGGUCUGAAAGGUGAACAAAUGAACCUGAACUCCUUAGAAGGUGCAAGUUCAGUUGAAUGGAUGCAAGGAUCAUUGAUAGCACAAAACCAAAUGCCAUUGGCAUGGUAUAGGGUAAGGAAAAAAAUCAAUCUAUGAUAGGAACCCUUUAGCGGUAUAAUAUUUUCAGUCCCACUCUUACAACUGCUUGUUUUAAUAGGCAUACUUUGAUACUCCAAGUGGUGAUGAACCUCUGGCUCUGGAUAUGGGUAGCAUGGGUAAGGGACAAAUCUGGAUAAACGGACAAAGCAUUGGACGGUACUCAUUAGCAUAUGCAACUGGGGACUGCAAAGAUUACAGUUACACUGGGUCAUUCCGGGCAACCAAAUGUCAAGCAGGUUGCGGUCAGCCGACACAACGCUGGUAAGACCAUUUACCACAACAUUUGAAUGAGAUAAUCAGCCCGCUGCCUCGUCUUUUUUUAGUAUCCAAAAUCAUACUGCUUGAUACUUGUCUUCCUUCACCAUUAAAACUGGAGCAUUCACUUCCAAUUAUUUUUUGUUUUUUGCCCUCGUUAGUAAAGUAUUGUUGCUACUGCAUUGACUAAAUUGUUCAAACUGAUAUAUUCAGGUAUCAUGUGCCAAAAUCCUGGUUGCAGCCAUCUAGAAAUCUGUUAGUUGUUUUCGAGGAACUUGGCGGGGAUACUUCGAAGAUUUCGCUUGUGAAGAGAUCAGUGUCAAGCGUCUGUGCUGAUGUAUCAGAGUUUCAUCCAAGUAUCAAGAACUGGCAGACUGAGAGCUCAGGGGAAGCUAAGCCUGAGUUACACAGGUCGAAGGUGCAUCUAAGAUGCGCGCCUGGGCAGUCUAUUUCUGCCAUCAAAUUUGCAAGCUUCGGGACGCCCUCUGGGACUUGCGGAAGUUUCGAGCAAGGGGAGUGCCAUUCGACCAAGUCACAGACUGUUCUUGAGGUCAGUUAAUUUCUUUCAGUAGUUUUAGACCGCUUGAAUUCUCUGCACCGGAGUGCUACAGAAUGCCCAUGUUCACAUUGUUAUGCUACUUGCUGAUGUUUCUUGUGUUCAUUUGAACAGAAAUGCAUUGGGAAGCAAAGGUGCGCCGUCGCCAUCUCCCCCGACAACUUCGGUGGAGACCCCUGCCCGGAUGUGAUGAAGAGGGUGGCGGUCGAGGCGGUAUGUUCUCCCGGUACAUAGGCGACUCUUCCGACUAGACUAAUUUAAGGACGGCGCAGCAGCCUUGUGUGUGACCGAUCAAGCACAUGGGAAGUGAUGUGGGGAGGUGAGAGUUCAACUGUAAAGUACUACCGACUCGAUGUAGACGUGGCGCUGGAGGAUUAGAAUUCCAUCUCUAGCAUUGUGAUUCAGAUUAGGAUUGGUGCUCUACCCUGCAUCUCCAUGAAUUGUUCAAAAGCGACCAGCUGGUAAUUUGUGGUUGGUCCUAGAUGGAGUGUAGGGAGAGUAGAGGCAAAAGAUCGAUGCAUUCUUUUGCUCGUGUCGUCGCUAUGUUUUGGCUGUGUCACUGCCAUCUUUCUUGAAGAAGAGAAGAUGCUGUAUCCUUACUUUUGAAAUACUUGCUUUUAAUUGUGCAUGCUGUGAGCAUGAAUAUGCUGAUGAUCACUUGCUCUUGGUUCUUGAGUCGUGUUUUGCUGGUGAUUUUGUGCUCGAAGAGCCUGAAAUCUGAAGAAAACUUCAUUGUCAUGUGAAAACAAAGAAGCAAAUGGCAGGAAACAUGGUAAAUAAUCGACAUGACAGUUUCCUCUCUGAACAAACAUGAAUGGGAUUUUGGUCUGCCUUUUCUUUCAAAAAAAAAGAAAGAGAACAAACAUGAAUGGGAUUUUGGUCUGCCUUUUCUUUCAAAAAAAAGAAAGAGAACAAACAUGAAUGGGAUUUUGGUUCUGCCUUUUCUUUCAAAAAAAAAAGAAAGAGAACAAACAUGAAUGGUGGCUCAGUCUUAAAGACAGUGGACUGGCUGCCUACUGGUCCUCGCUGAUAACCUUUGCAGAGGCCGGUGCCAGACAGCUCCAUGCCCGACAGAGCAUUAUCCUGAAAACCAUAGAGGUGGACCUAAUAAUGAAGCCGAGUUAUUGACAGGCAAAGUAUGUAGGCGUGCACUAGCAUAGCUGGAGCUCGAGCUCGAAGAAGAAUUCUCUAUAUGGAGGAACGUCGUACCCAUCGUGGGCGACGGUUGCGUGUUUAUAUCGCCAGGUCGCGACCUCCUAGUAUAGCGUACAAGUUGGUUCAGAUUACAACUUGAAGAAGAAGAGAUAAGAGAUGUUACAAAGAUAAACGCAUACGAGCUAGAUCCUAGUCUAUCUUCGGUUGGAGUCCUGGGCGAUGGUUAUCUUCAGGACUCUGAAUCUCUGUCACGUACAGCACUAGGCGUUGCCAUAUUACGUUCAACAUUCUCUCUUAAUCACAACUUGGUCAAGUUGAGAUUACGCUUGAACUCUUCAAAAUUUUGUGUGGGCAAAGCUUUGGUGAAUCCAUCUGCAACCUGAUCACGAGAAUGAAUGAACCGAAUUUCCAACUGCUUGUUUGCAACUCGUUCUCUAACAAAGUGGAAAUCAAUCUUAAUAUGUUUCGUCCUUGCAUGAAACACAGGGUUAGCAGACAGGUAAGUAGCACCAAGAUUAUCACACCAUAAACAUGGAGCUUGGGUAGUCUUCACACCAAGCUCUCGUAGCAUGGACUGGACCCAAAUAAUUUCAGCUGUGGCAUUGGCCAAAGCCUUGUACUCAGCUUCAGUACUGGAUCUUGAUACAGUGGCUUGUUUCUUUGCACACCAUGAUAUUAAGUUUGGACCAAAGAAUACUGCAAAACCACCAGUAGAUCGUCUGUCAUCUAAACACCCUGCCCAGUCAGAAUCAGAGAAUGCACUAACAAGUGUAGAUGAAGACUUGUUGAAAGUGAGGCCUAGAUUAACUGUGUCCUUCACAUAUCUCACUAUGCGUUUAGCAGUUGUCCAAUGAGUUAUAGUGGGUGCAUGAAGAAACUGACAAACCUUGUUUACUGCAAAUGAAAGAUCAGGUCUUGUCAAAGUCAGAUACUGAAGUGCACCUACCAAGCUCCUGUACCUGGUACUGUCAUCUUGACCCAAGGGCUUUCCUUCUGUAAGUGACAAUUUUUCUAUGCUGGACAGUGGAGUUGGUGAGGAUUUACAUCCUUGUAACCCAACUCUUCUUACCAGAUCAGUGGCAUACUUUUCCUGAGAAAGAUGAAGACUAUUUCCUUGUUUCUUGACUUCAAUCCCUAGGAAGAAGUGCAAGUCACCCAGAUCCUUGAGAGCAAACUCAGCACUUAAAUCCUUCAACAUUCCUGAUAUAGCCUCAUUAGAUGAGCUUGUGACAAUAAUAUCAUCAACAUAUAUAAGAACGAAUAUUGUUGUUUUCAACUUGUUGUAAAUGAACAAGGAUGUGUCAGACUUAGAAGGAACAAAACCAAGAGUUUGCAAUUUGUGGCUUAAUCUGGAAUACCAUGCCCUAGGAGCUUGUUUAAGUCCAUAUAAUGCUUUAUCAAGCUUGCACACAUGGAACGGCUUAUUCUUGUUUUCAAAACCAGGAGGUUGUUUCAUAUAUACUUCCUCUUCCAGAACACCAUGAAGAAACGCAUUCUUGACAUCUAGCUGGCGAAGGCUCCAUCCCCUGGAAACAGCAAUAGAGAGCACAAGACGAAUAGUUGCAGCUUUAACAACUGGACUAAAGGUGUCCUCAUAGUCUAUACCGUACCGUUGUUUAAAACCCUUUGCAACUAGUCUGGCUUUGUAGCGAUCAAUGGUUCCAUCAGCCUUCUUUUUAAUUCUAAAUACCCACUUGCAAUCAAUCAAAUUUUUACCGUGUCGUGGCGGAACCAGAUGCCACGUUUUGUUUUUGAGAAGUGCCAUGUGUUCUUCCUCCAUGGCUGCCUUCCAAUUUUUGUCGCUGAGUGCCUCGCCAAGAGUACUUGGUUCAUCUGUGGAGCACAUUAAACUGAACUUUGUCAGUUGUUUGUAAUUAACUGGUUUUAUUACCCCUUUUUGGAGACGUGUCCGUGGAACAGCAGCAGCCGGUGGUGAUGCAGAAAAUCCUGGGACGGCGGUGUCAGAAGAUCCUGUGAGAAUCCCCGCCUCGCUGCCAGCAGGAUCCUCUGUGCCAACGCGGUUUGGAGACGGUGGAGACGCGGCGGAAUCAGGCGCAGAGAAUCCUGUGCCGUGGGAGACAUCCAGCACAGACCCAUCAUGGCGCAAUGCUGAGGCGAAUCCAGGCGGGCCCGCGCCGGAUCGCGCGCCAGCGGCAGAGGCUGACAGGGCCGGAUCUGCGGUGGGACCAGCGCCUACACCUGGCUCCUGGCGGUCCUGGCGGUCCCCGCCUGUGGGCUGGCGGCGGACGUAGUGGCGGGGCCCAUCAUGAGCCCAGCGAAUCUCGGGCUGCCGUGUGGGGGCAUCCGAGUGGUGGAGGCGGGCCGAAUCGCCCUGGCCCGUGGCGAGGCGCCGAGUGGCAAGCGCGGGGCCACUGCGCGGCUGGCUGGCGGGCUACGUGGGUUUCCGCGUGGCGCUGCUCCCGGGCGACCCUGAUCCCGAGGAGGAUCCGCUGUCAGGCUGCGGUGGAGUUGAUCCCGAGGAGGAUUUGUCCCCCAGCCCUGGACACAUGAAAUAUGGCGUUGUAGGCAGAUUUUCUUCGCCAUUUUGAGCGUGUCCUGCACCGUUUUCUGCGCUGUUCUCAUCUGCAUCAUCAUAGAACUCAUGCACUUGGUUAUGAACAUUAGUCAAUAUUGGAUCACCACAAUCAUUAUCCCCAUGAGAGAUGCCGGUAAGACUAGAGGGUAGAAGAAGAAUUUCUUUGCGAAGUAGUGCCCCGGCAUUUGGGUGGAGUUCAGAGAAAGGAAAUUUUGUCUCAUAAAAAAUGACAUCACGAGAGAUAUAAACUCGACCAGUGGAGAUGUCUAGGCACUUAACACCUUUAUGUUGGGCACUAUAGCCAAGAAAAGCACAUUGCUUGGAGCGAAACAUGAGCUUGCGAGUGUUAUAUGGGCGAAGAUUUGGCCAGCAAGCGCAACCAAACACACGAAGAGUUGUGUAGUCGGGUUUGAUGUGGAGGAGACGCUCAAUAGGAGUUUCAUAGUUGAUGACACGGCUAGGUAGCAUAUUUAUGAUAUGUACCGCAGCAAGAAAAGCCUCGUCCCAAAACUUUAGGGGCAUGGAGGCGCCGGCUAGUAAGGCAAGACCGACUUCAACGAUGUGUCUGUGUUUGCGUUCAGCAGACCCAUUCUGUUGAUGGGCGUGAGGACAUGACACGUGAUGAGAGAUGCCAAUUUUCUGAAAGAACGAGUUUAACUUCUCAUACUCCCCUCCCCAAUCAGAUUGGAGAGCCAGGAUUUUGCAAUCAAAUUGGCGCUCAACAAGAGCUUGAAAAUUCAGAAACACUUGAAACACAUCCGACCUUUUUUUAAGAAGGUAAAUCCAUAAAAACUUGCUAUAGUCAUCUAUGAAACUCACAUAAUAUGUGUGUCUACCAACAGAGGAAGGGGCAGGCCCCCACACAUCAGAGAAAACAAGUUGUAGAGGCUUGGUAGAAACACUGGUAGAAAUUGGAUAAGGUAGCUGAUGGCUUUUAGCCUUUUGACAGGAAUCACAAAUUUUCUCAACAUCACGCUCUCCAACAUACGGGAGCUUAUUUUUCUUAAGUAAUAUCUCAACUAAGGAAAAAGAUGCAUGUCCUAAACGAUCGUGCCAUCGUGUUGAAGACACUUUGGUGGCACUAAAAACUUGUUUAUUGAACCUUCUAAUUUCUGGAAUCAAGGGGUAAAGCCCACGAACGCAUCUACCUCGAUAUAGCACCUUCUUCGUUGCCUGAUCCUUGAUCAAAAAGAAGUAAGGGUGAAACUCAAGAAAGACAUGAUUGUCAAUGGCAAUGCGAUGAACGGAAAGAAGGCUUUUUGAAGCACUAGGGACAUGCAAAAUUUUCCUAAGAUGAAUUUUUCGAUGAGGGGUUUUAAUAAUUGAGUGACCAACAUGACUAAUUUUCGUACCUUCUCCACUUGCUGUGUGGAUGUGAUCUUUGCCACGGUACUUGUCGCGCAUGGUCACCUUCUCCAGCUCACCGGUGAUGUGGUUUGUGGCACCGCUGUCGACCUACCAAUUGGUGUCGACGCCGUAGGAGCCAUCAGCAGCUCCGGCCACCUUCUCAUCUUGUGAGGAAUCAUCUUCGUCUUCUUCAAAACGGUACCAACAAUCUUUUGCCGAGUGUCCCGGCUUGCCACAGAUUUGGCACCUGAUUGCAUCAGGGCGUGAUCUGUUGUUGGAGGAGUUGCCGCGCCGGCCUCGAUUGUUGGAGGAGAAAGGCCGGCCGCCGCGUGUGUUGUUGGCGUCGCUGCUGUUUCCGUUGCCGGAGCCCCGGCCCUUGCCACUCCGAGGUGGGCCGCGGUAGCGGGAGCCUCCGCCCCGGCCGCGCGUGGCAGCGUUCGCUGACGACUUGAAGCCGCCCGUCGCGCCUGCUCCCUGGAAUAGAGCCACCCGUUGGUCGAAGUUGCUCAUCUGCCCGAACAGCUCGUCGAGAGUGACCGGGGUGGUGCGGGCGUCGAGGGCGGACACCAAGGGCUGGUACUCCAUGUCAAGCGCGUUGAGAAUAUACGAGAUUAACUCAUCAUCCUUCAACGGCUUGCCAGCCGCGGCGAGCUCGUCGGCGAGUCCCCGCAUGUACGCGAAGAAGGUGGCCACCGAUUGCGUUCCUUUCUGCGCAUUGGUGAGGGCGGCGCGGAUGUUGUUGACACGGGACAGCGACGUGGACGAGAACAUGCUCGCCAGCGCCGUCCAGAGUUCGCGUGCGUGCGCGAUGGAGGUGACCUGCACUAGCACCUCUUUGGAUAGGUUAUUCAAGAGAUAACCAAGUACCUGCUGAUCCUCGCGGAACCAGACGGCAUGGAGUGGGUUGGGGAUGGUUGCCUCCUUUCCAUCCUUGUCCUUGCCGACGACGAACUCGGCCGGCUCCGCCAUGCUUCCGUCGACGUACCCGAAGACUCCAGCUCCUCUCAGCUGCGGCGUGAUCUGAGUGCGCCAAAGAACAUAGUUGGUGCGGGUAAGGCGCUCGGUGAUCUGGCCGGAGAGAGGGGAGGAGGUGGCGGCGGAUGAGGCCAUGGCAGGAAGCUUCGGUGGAAGGAGGAGAGCUAGAUGGGAAGAGUUAGGCUCUGUAUACCAUAUGGAGGAACGUCGUACCCAUCCUGGGCGACGGUUGCGUGUUUAUAUAGCCAGGUCGCGACCUCCUGGUAUAGCGUACAAGUUGGUUCAGAUUACAACUUGGAGAAGAAGAGAUAAGAGAGGUUACAAAGAUAAACGCAUACGAGCUAGAUCCUAGUCUAUCUUCGGUUGGAGUCCUGGGCGAUGGUUAUCUUCAGGACUCUGAAUCUCUGUCACGUACAGCACUAGGCGUUGCCAUAUUACGUUCAACACUCUACUCUUUUGAUUAAGGCCUCCUUUGGUUCAUAGGUAGGAAUAUCAUAGGAAUAGGAAAAUCAUAGGAAGCGAGGUGGCAUGCAUCUCACUUCCUAUAGAUUAAGAGAUGUCAUCUGAUUCAUAGGAUAUGAUUUUUUCCAUUAAGUCUAGACUAAUAUUUUUUCCCUUUGAAAUAUAAAGGAUUGGUUCCUAUCCUAUAUAGGAAUAGGAAUCCAUUCCUACAAACCAAAGGGCUCCAUAGAAAUUUUUCCUACAAAAAUCCUAUCCUCUAAAAUCCUACAAGAUUCCUCCAAACCAAAGGAGCCUAAAAGAAGAGGAAGAAACCCGCGGAAGCUGCCACGCACAACCCAACACAAUCAUGCGGUUGGGGUUGGGGUUGGGGUUGGGGUUGGAUGCCUCUCUCUUCUUUUUAGAGGAUCAUUAUGCGACCUACUCCCUCGUUUCUAAAUAUAAGUCUUUUUGGAGAUUUCAACAAGUGACUACAUACGGAGCAAAAUAAAUGAAUCUUUUUCGAUAAAGGGUGCUUUCUUAUUGACUCAUAGUGUAGCAUCGAGGGAUACAAUCAUAACGAGUACACACACAGCCUCUGCACAAUUAGGAUGCACACAGCCAACACAACACACGCACCCACACGUCACUUCGGCAAAGAGCAAAGUCAUAAAAGACCGAAGCUAUGCCUAGGUGAAGAAAAGAAAACCCGAAGAAUUGAAAGCAACAAUAAACGAUAUACAGCAGUGACCAUCGGCGUCAACCAUCUCGUCACAACACAAGGACUACGAGAAAGGCUCUCCAAAAGCGACGCCUUCAGAAAGGGAACGACGUUGAAGCGCCACUGUCGCCGAAUCCAACCACCACCAAUUCCGAGCAAUGCCCUCAUCAGGGUAACAACGCAAAAGAACGCGCCAUUGCCAGAUAUGACCAACUAGGGUCAAACCUAUGGUUUUCACCACGGAGCUCGAGACUAGGUACUGCAGAAGUACCACCCAAUCGAAGUAGUCUUGUGCCAUCUCCUCCACUUUUCUCAAUCCCAGUAGUUGCAUAUGCGCACGGUCCUUGUGCCGGGGGAUGUCCACACCCGUACGAGCAAGCUGACAAGACGAGACAAGAUCUUCUCUCGCCACCAUCCGACGAAGACUUUGACGGGGAAGUGUAGGUGUCUAGCGUACUCACUGAACCACGGCGAUCACCGGAGACAAGGAAAAAACAAGAGAGAGAGAGGACACGAGGUUUCCCGGCGCACAAACGCCUCCGGCCGCAUGAACAGCCCCUUGUAUAUCCGGCGAGCUCGAACUCUGCCACACACACCAUCCCACGGCGAGCACACAUACACUCCAAGAGGCUACAUCUCUCUCUGGCUCCUCUCUCUCUACACAACACCAGCAGCCACUUAAAUAUGCAAGGCCACGCACAGCCUAGCCGCCUCCAUCGGCCACUAACAACACUUACUAACUACCAUGACGCCACACCUCCAUGCACUAACCAACUCAGCUAGCAUGCAUACUAGAAUCACUCACGCCCAGCUUUCUAGCUAGCCCACUAACUAACCAGCCAUGCAUGUAGAUGGAAUCCCGGCCACUACUCACGCAUGAACGUGACUCGGUCAGGUCGCUGCAUGAGGCUGCGAUCAAGAUUAGUGCUGACAGGAAGAAGGACUGUCGGCACCAUCAAAAUCCCGGGAUGGGGACACUCUGAAGGCCUACACCAUCCUCACAAGUAGCAGAUGUUGGCUGAUCUGUAUCAGACGACAGCUCCACGAGCUGCCACUACCUCAAGCGUUUUCGCACCAGUGGACGCACAUCAUUCAGGUUUGAAGCUCUUGAGGUAAGCAGUCUAGCCCACAACCACACAGCAGCCUGCGGACCAGAUUCACGGCCGAACCUGAGGGAACAACCACCAUGAGCACUACGCACCAACGCCAAAGAUGCACCCAUGGAGCAGCGGCCCUAGCAUGGGUGUGCUCUCAGGUUGGAUGCAUCGGAGGAAGUCACAGCACAAGACGCAGAGGAGCAACAGGUGUGCAUGCUCCAGUGGUCCUGUCGAUGAAGAUGACUGCGUCGCGAGCGCACAUGGUGCUGACCUAGUUAUCCCAAGCCAUGCUUCCGCCAGAUACGUGGAGUGCUGGAGCCGCCGCUGCAGCAUCAACCUUCACAGCGGCCAGCCACCAUCUGCAUCUCGUUGAAUACGUUGCCCAAAGAUCCACGGGAACGGAACCCUGCUGCCGCCCUCAGCCGCCCGAGCAAGCUCGAUGACGCCGACUGGCGGCGGCGAGGGGAGGGCGCACAGGGACGACGCCGGAAAAAGCGGACCGAGCCGCCCGAGUCGCCCAGGCGGACGACGCGGGGGCAGUUUUUUUUUUGUAUGAAAUCUUUCUCUCCCUGCAGGCUCAGUCAAAUGAGUGAAUCUAUAUUCUAAAAUAUGUCUACAUAUAUCCGUAUGUUAUAUUUUAUUUGAAAUGUCUAAAAAGACUUAUAUUUAGGAACGAAGGGAGUAGGAUCAUCAUGCCUAUAAUACUACAUCUAUGUGAUCCUAUGUAACCUUGAUUUUCAUGGCUGUGGGCCCCCCUCACUCCCCUUAUUCCAAUUAAAAUUUGCAAAAUCAGCAGCAUUACGUAAACCUUACGUAGCUUUGCGUGGAUGUAGCAUUGCUCUGCUACAGACGCGGGAGCAGCGUAGAACGCCAAGGGUGAUUGAAAGUAAAAAACAAAAAGAAGAUUCUAGGAGCAAUGCGGUGAGGGGGUGCAGGAUUUGUCUGUCCGACUCCUCCGACCUGUAAAGCAUGGAGAACCAACCCUAAAUCUAGCGAAAGAAAGACACAAAGACGGCGUGCCGCGGCGGGCGGACCUCCGGUGCAGUGCAGGCGCGAUGAUAGUAAAAGAGGGGAGCUAGGCUGCUAGGGUCCCUUCGACGAUGUGCUCCCUCCUCCUUGGCCCGGCGUCUCGGAUGCGGUCGCGGUUACCGACGCCCAUCCGCCGUCUCAUCUCCGGAGUUCUUUUCCUCGGUGUGUGCGUACGGUGCAGGGCAUGGACUGGACUUGUGGGUUUUGGCUCAGGCCCUCGUCUUAUGCAUUUGUUUUGUGGGAGAUGGUAAACAAUUGCUCUCACACUCUCGGUCGUAUCGUAUGGUUAGCACCCCGGCUCCUGCAGCUGCCAAUAAUGUCAAGUAUCCACACCUUCAUGUGCAUCUGCUAUAAUGUUUAAGUAUCCACAUCUUCAUGUGCAUCAGCUGUCAGCGUGUCAGAUAGUUAGACAAUACAUCAGAUCUCAGAUGCCGGCUGCCACAGUUUAAUGAAGGGAUGCAUCGGUGACUUGGGUGGUCGAGGGGUGCAACUCCGGACAUCGCUUUAUGCGGACGACGCGGCAAUAUUUGUUGCACCGAUCAAGGAGGACGUCCAAGGCCAUCUCCACUAUAUGUCUUGGAAAGCUUUGGAGAGGUGACCGGACUGGCUACAAAUUUCCAAAAAAACGCUUUGUGUGGCACCCAUCCGGUGUGAAGGAUUGGACCUUGAAGACAUCAUGCAAAGCAUGCCCGCGGUGCGCUCGACGUUCCCCUUGCGCUACCUUGGGCUUCCCUUGUCGAUUAGGCGCUUAAAAAGGAGCCACUUCUAGCACCUCGAGGACCAGGUCGUCGGCAAGUUGCCAUCUUGGCAGGGAAAACACUGCAAGUUACCACAUCACGACGCUUGUCAUUCCAGCUGAGGUUCUACAAGCCAUUGACAAGAUCCGGAGGGCCUUGAUUUGUGCGGGUUCCGACAAGGUUUCUGGGGGCAAAAUGCAAAAUUAACUUGACUUCUGUGUGCCGCUCCAUGAUCCUCGGUAGCCUUGGUAUCCUUCACCUUGCAAAGUUUGCUCGUGCACUCCGCCUAAGGUGGCCAUGGCUUGAGUGGAUCACGCCGGAAAGACCUUGGGUGGGCACCGGGAACCCUUGCGACAAGGAGGACAUGGGCCUUUUUCACGCCCUCACGAAGGUCACGAUAGGAGAUGGACGCAAGGCGAGCUUCUGUGAGUCGCCUGACUUGAUGGGUUUAGACCUAAGCACAUUGCACCACUAAUUUUUGACAUUUCCAGAAGCAAAAGUUGGAGCGUAAGGAAGGCAAUUCAGAAUGGUGCUUGGGUGGACAAAAUUCGGUUCUCAAAUGGCCUAACAGUGGCGCACAUCCAAGAAUUCAUCUCGCUUUGGACUUUGGUGACCCAGGUGCAACUACAAGACAACCACCUCGACACCAUCACUUGGAAGCUCACCACCUCAGGGCAUUAUUCGGCGGCCACUGCAUACAAGGCACAGUUUUGCGGCAUCAUGGCUUCUAGCUUCAAGAGCAUGAUUUGGAAGAACUGGGCACCGCCAAAAUGCAAGUUCUUUGCCUAGUUGAUCACUCAGAACCGAGUUAGGACGGCCGGCUGCCUUAUUAAACGUGGUUGGCCAAAUUGUGGCAAUUGUUCGUUGUGCAACCAAGUUUCGGAGUUGGUGUCACACCUACUCUUUCAAUGUAGGUUCUCCAUAAUGGUGUGGAUCAUGGUGCGUGACUGGCUUCAGCUUGAAGGGUUACACCCAAAUACUUUUGGGUUCGAAGAUGUCCAAUCUUGGUGGUACGCCAUGGUUCAUGACGGCUUUGGACGUCGUAAGGCCAUGGCUUCUACUACAAUGCUUGUGUCUUGGGAGAUAUGGAACGAGUGCAACACAAGAAUCUUCAACAACAAAUUCGCCAGGUCGGCAGUAAUCAUGGCCAAAAUCCAGUGCGGGGCGAAGAAUUGGGGGUUGGCAGGCGCAACCCAUUUGUGUAAUCUUAUGUCGGGAGAGUAGGCUUUUGUUUUACCGGCUACUUGCCCUAGGGCGGCCAGCCAAACCUGUUCUAAACUCUCUCUUAAUUAAUGAAUGCCGCAAGUCUUUUGCCCUUUUCAAAAAAAAGGUGUUUUUACAUUAUACUCCCUCUGUAAAGAAAUAUAAGAGUAGUGAUCUAAAUUCUCUAACAUUCUUUACGGUGGGAGUAUUUCCUUAUUUUCAUCGUUUCUUACUCUUGUUUCCCAGCACACAACGGUAAUAUUAAUAUUUUUAUUAUUUUAAAAAUAGGUGCAGUAUAUACACUCAACAGAGUGCGAGUUAGUCCUAUGUUGAUAAGGCGCCGAGAGAUGUGUAGUUAUAGGCCCUGGGCACUCUCCAAAUUUUCUUUUCCUCAACAUUGGACCAAAUCAUACGAGACUCCUAGAACUUGGUCUUACAGUUUUUUGAACGAGUCUGGGAGUUAUAGUGCUCUUUUGUGCGAUUUUAUUCAGGUGGUGAAUGAGUUGCAUACCUACAAGGUUUAUGUAGACUAAGGUUACCACAGGGCUUAUGUAGCUACACCAUACACGUAGGCUCUGCCUUUAGCUUUGAUAAUUGAAACGGGAAAAAAAGCCUUAUUCGUGUCAAAAUAGAAGAUAUGUUAGCACGACCAUGCGAAACAUAUUCUUCCUUCCUGCCAUUUUCUUUGUCAACCCCUCACUCUGCCUUCGAAUCUGUCCCGCUUUGCCGUAAAAACUACAUCCUCCCUUUCUAUCAACGACAGCUACAUGAAACUUCAUUCCUCGUCUUCUAUAUGGUUCUUGGUACAUAACUAAUUAAAAGGUGAAAGAUUUAUUGGCAUUGCUAGUUUAACCAUGGCAACAAUACCAGGCGAUACCAAUGCUAGGAAUAUUAGUUUCACUAAAUUCACUAAUAAGAACAUUAGUAUAGCACUUGGCGCCGUCUUAUGGCAAUACAUAUAUAUCACUAGUUCUUGGAAGAGCUACAAUGAUCUAUACAAAACGAUAAUGAAAUCACGGUGGGAGGGGUAAUGGAGGUAAUCUUUGAUCCUUAAUUCCAUGAUGGACUAGGAGAGAGGAUGAGUCAAUAGCUCGUGGUGGACCAAUCCCUCUCAUCUAUCCACCUAGGUGGGUUUCUUUUCUUGGGCUUCCUUAUUGACUUGGGCCUCUUUUCCAUUAACUAUUUCUUAGUCUUAUUCUUUUUCCUCCAUUCACUUGUUUGACCAUAGUUGGUUGCUUCACUUGACCUUGAUGAUUUGCCAAUUAUAGGUUUGGUAGGACUAAGUAGGGCCUUGAGUAAGAUUAACUGCUCCGCAAUCAAACAUCACUAGUCACUCAUAAUUAGCCAAGAAAAACAUGAAAUGUUUCCUCAAGGAAUCGGUCUUAUAUAGACAUAAGAAAUUAAAGAUGACUCAAACAUCUAAUGUGGCCAAUUUUUUCGCCACUAAUGAAGAUCAACUUGAAAGUUAGGCAUUUACAUGACACCCCUCGAUUAAACAAGGCGUGUGCACAAGAGACAAACAUUUGCUCUUCACUGGGUAACUUGACCAAAUCUUCGGAAUCCACCGCCCUUGUGCCCUUGAGUUAUUCUAUUCCAGUGCACUGACGACCUAGAAGCUAAGUUGGCAACGCAGGACGAAGAAAGGAGAUGCCAGCAACAACUGGAGGGUUUCUCCAAAGCCCCUGCUCGGUCACGACAGAUAGCUCUGACCACUCCAACAUGCCCAUUACGAUGUACAGUAGCAUCUACAUCGAGUUUUGAGAAGUUCUCCGGCGGUGCAAUCCACCCUGAAGGACGAAUAUCCGUUGUUCUUCUAGUAUUUCUGGCUGGCCCGUUUGUUUUUAUUUCGCCCAGAUAGGAGUUGACCUUUUAUAUAGCUGCCCUACGCGAGCUCAACUCUUGAGGCUCAAGUGGAUUUUAAUUCCUGUAAGAGCAACUUCAACAGACCGACCCAAAUGGACGUACGACUUGUCGUCGCUUUUUAUCCGUUUGGUUUGGCCGAGCGGACAGAUUUGUCCACUUUUUCAUGGUCGCCCGGUGUGCCCAACCGCAGCCGGAUGCAUUUGUGACAUAUCAGUCGCUUCAUAUCUGCGCCCCGCACCCCGCGUCACGUGCUCGCGCCUGCCCGUGCUCUGCACCGUGCUCCGCACCCCACCCCGCUCCCUGCGCGCCUACCCAUGCCCCGCGCGCCCGCGCCCCACCGCGUGCUGCUGCUCGGCCGAGGUUGCAGCAGCCGCCGCGCGCUGCCCCAAGCCAAGCGCGAGGACCUACAAGUGGGCACAAACGCCAGCGCACAUUGGCCAUGGCCGAGACAAGCGAUACCCACGCGAGCGCGUGCGAGAGGUGCCUGACGGCGGCGACCACCUGUUCCUACUGCUUGAGGUCGGAGCGAGGCUAGGCAUGGCAAGCACGGCGCGACACCGGCCAGGCGUGGGGCGAGGCCAGCGGCUGCAGUAGCGCCAGCCAGGUGGUGCACGUCCGCUGCGGUGCGGCUGUUCAAGUCCAAGUAAUUCUUACCUUGCCUGAUAGCAGAGCAUGUAGACACUUCGCCAUUGGGUCGCUGCUCUAGCGCCGAGUUCAUCCACUUGCGCCAGGCUAACUCAAACUCGCCCAAUAAAUGGUAACGACCUCUACGUGCCAGUUCCCAGGCCACACAAAAUCGUUCAGACAAACCUCUCAAUGUGACAUAUGUACAUUCCCCUCAACUCAUGAUAUACUUUGUCAAAGCCCAAGACGAGAACUUUCCAUCUAUGUUGGGUGGCUUCCUCCUCUCUUUACAAGAUGUGAAUCACCUCUCCAAGUUAGAGGGCCAAGAUCCUGUCUUGAUCCAGUAUGGCAGACGGUGAUGGCACGGCGAAAAGCCACAUGAAGUUAGAAGAAAGUUAUGUGGCACUCUAGUGCGUGCUGCUGAAGGGAGGAAUGUUGCUGCGCAGAUGCUCACGCUACGUUUCUCAUCUUCUUCACCUUAUAGGUGAUGAAGGACAGAUAAAUGAGCAUAGAUACCAAACACUGAACACCAUCAAGAAAAUGCAGCAGGCUAUUACUGCUACAUAACAAGAACCAAACUUAGAUAUCACCAGGCAGCCAGACAAACAGAAGAACCAACAACAGGCGACUCAAAAGUGCAUGACAUAGAACACGUUGCUACAACGUUCAGGCUGGCAAACGGGCAGGCAUAAUUAACAAAAAAUUGACCAGUACACAUCGGGGAUAACUAGUUACUUGAAAAGUAAGGUUCAGCGGGGCUUCAUUUUUCCCAUAAACAGGCGUGCAGCUUAGUCGCCCUUCCGGCGGAAGGAGCAUCCCUCGGUGAGCCUCGCCUUUCCUCCGGUGGGUUGGCAGAGCACCGUCUGGCAGCCAGGGCACACCACCACGGUCUGAGAGUGGCUGAACACAGUCGUUCUGUCACAAGGCAAUAGAUGGUUGGAAA
This 40169-nucleotide long non-coding RNA is filed under the name Triticum aestivum (bread wheat). RNAcentral describes it as "long non-coding RNA (TAES_LNC001060)". The record is from RNAcentral. Lineage: Eukaryota; Viridiplantae; Streptophyta; Magnoliopsida; Poales; Poaceae.